GGCCCAAGCGACUGUUUAACUGAAACACAGCUCUCUGCGAAGUCGCAAGACGAAGUAUAGGGGUUGACACUUGCCCGGUGCUGGAAGGUAUAGAGGAUCUGUUAAGAGCGAUCUGAAGCAGUGAUCCGAAGCCCCAGUGAACGGCGGCCGUAACUAUAACGGUCCUAAGGUAGCGAAAUUCCUUGUCAGGUAAGUUCUGACCCGCACGAAAGGUGUAACGAUUUGGGCGCUGUCUCGGCAGCAGACUCGGUGAAAUCUUAGUACCUGUGAAAAUGCAGGUUACCCGCAACUAGACGGAAAGACCCCAUGGAGCUUUACUGCAGCCUGAUAUUGAAUUCUGGUCAUACAUGUACAGGAUAGGUGGGAGACAAAGAGACGUGCACGCCAGUGUACGAGGAGUCGGCGUUGGGAUACCACUCUUGUGUGACCGGGGUUCUAACCUGGUAUCGAGAACAGGUACGGGGAGAGUGUCAGGUGGGCAGUUUGACUGGGGCGGUCGCCUCCCAAAGAGUAACGGAGGCGCCCAAAGGUACGCUCAGAUUGGAUGGAAACCAAUCGUCGAGUGCAAUUGCAGAAGCGUGCUUGACUGUGAGACAGACAAGUCGAACAGGGACGAAAGUCGGGAAUAGUGAUCCGGCGGUGCCGAAUGGAAGGGCCGUCGCUCAACGGAUAAAAGCUACCCUGGGGAUAACAGGCUGAUCUCGCCCAAGAGUUCACAUCGACGGCGAGGUUUGGCACCUCGAUGUCGGCUCAUCGCAUCCUGGAGCUGGAUUCGGUUCCAAGGGUUGGGCUGUCCGCCCAUUAAAGCGGUACGCGAGCUGGGUUCAGAACGUCGUGAGACAGUUCGGUCCCUAUCUGUUGUGGGCGAAGGAGAUCUGCGGAGAGCUGUCCUCAGUACGAGAGGACCGGGAUGGACCUACCGCUGGUGCACCGGUUGUUCCGCCAGGGGCAUAGCCGGGUAGCUAAGUAGGGAAAGGAUAAGCGCUGAAAGCAUCUAAGCACGAAGCCUACUCCAAGAUGAGAUCUCCCAUUCGCAAGAAGUAAGACCCCUUAAAGACGAUAAGGUAGAUAGGCCAGGGAUGGAAGUGCAGUGAUGUACGGAGUUGACUGGUACUAAUCGGUCGAGGACUUAA
RNAcentral lists this ribosomal RNA (1133 nucleotides) under human gut metagenome. RNAcentral describes it as "bacterial LSU rRNA". It matches the Rfam family "Bacterial large subunit ribosomal RNA", at positions 1789 to 2925 of the family's 2925-position model. The record is from RNAcentral.